RNAcentral lists this ribosomal RNA (368 nucleotides) under uncultured organism. Its description in RNAcentral is "bacterial SSU rRNA". It matches the Rfam family "Bacterial small subunit ribosomal RNA", at positions 526 to 896 of the family's 1533-position model. The record is from RNAcentral.
CGGAGGAUCCAAGCGUUAUCCGGAUUUAUUGGGUUUAAAGGGUGCGUAGGCGGCCUAUUAAGUCAGGGGUGAAAGACGGUAGCUUAACUAUCGCAGUGCCUUUGAUACUGAUGGGCUUGAAUGAACUAGAGGUAGGCGGAAUGUGACAAGUAGCGGUGAAAUGCAUAGAUAUGUCACAGAACACCAAUUGCGAAGGCAGCUUACUAUGGUUUUAUUGACGCUGAGGCACGAAAGCGUGGGGAUCAAACAGGAUUAGAUACCCUGGUAGUCCACGCCCUAAACGAUGAACACUCGAUGUUAGCGAUAUACAGUUAGCGUCCAAGCGAAAGCGUUAAGUAAUCCACCUGGGGAGUACGCCGGCAACGGUG